RNAcentral lists this ribosomal RNA (483 nucleotides) under uncultured bacterium. RNAcentral describes it as "bacterial SSU rRNA". It matches the Rfam family "Bacterial small subunit ribosomal RNA", at positions 28 to 507 of the family's 1533-position model. The record is from RNAcentral.
GAUGAACGCUAGCGGCAGGCCUAAUACAUGCAAGUCGAACGGAUAUAUGUUUUUCGGAAUAUAUAUUAGUGGCGCACGGGUGAGUAACACGUACAUAACUUGCCCUCAAGCGGGGGAUAGCCUUGGGAAACUGAGAGUAAUACCCCAUAGAAUUAUUGGACGGCAUCGUUUGAUAAUUAAAACUACGGUGUUUGGGGAUAGAUGUGCGUCUGAUUAGCUAGUUGGUGAGGUAACUGCUCACCAAGGCGACGAUCAGUAGGGGGCGUGAGAGCGUGGCCCCCCACACGGGUACUGAGACACGGACCCGACUCCUACGGGAGGCAGCAGUAAGGAAUAUUGGUCAAUGGAGGGAACUCUGAACCAGCCAUGCCGCGUGAAGGAUGACGGCCCUCUGGGUUGUAAACUUCUUUUGGAUGGGGCGAAAAAACGGGAUUUAUACCUGGACUGACGGUACCAUCAGAAUAAGCACCGGCUAACUCCGUG